This 274-nucleotide ribosomal RNA is filed under the name uncultured bacterium. RNAcentral's name for it is "partial 16S ribosomal RNA". It matches the Rfam family "Archaeal small subunit ribosomal RNA", at positions 473 to 747 of the family's 1478-position model. The record is from RNAcentral.
AAACCAGCACCUCAAGUGGUCAGGAUGAUUAUUGGGCCUAAAGCAUCCGUAGCCUGCUUUGCCAGUUUUCGGUUAAAUCCAUACGCUUAACGUAUGGGCUGCCGGAAAUACUACAAAGCUAGGGAGUGGGAGAGGUAGACGGUACUCGGGAGGAAGUGGUAAAAUGCUUUGAUCUCUCGAUGACCGCCUGUGGCGAAGGCGGUCUACCAGAACACGUCCGACGGUGAGGGAUGAAAGCUGGGGGAGCAAACCGGAUUAGAAACCCCGGUAGUCC